This 446-nucleotide ribosomal RNA is filed under the name uncultured prokaryote. RNAcentral describes it as "bacterial SSU rRNA". It matches the Rfam family "Bacterial small subunit ribosomal RNA", at positions 355 to 796 of the family's 1533-position model. The record is from RNAcentral.
UCGAGAAUCUUCGGCAAUGGACGCAAGUCUGACCGAGCGACGCCGCGUGCGGGAUGAAGGCCCUCGGGUUGUAAACCGCUGUCAGAGGGGAUGAAAUGCAUAGGGGUUCUCUCCUAUGUUUGACAUAUCCUCAGAGGAAGUACGGGCUAAGUUCGUGCCAGCAGCCGCGGUAAGACGAACCGUACAAACGUUAUUCGGAAUCACUGGGUUUAAAGGGUGCGCAGGCGGCUUGGCAAGUUGGGUGUGAAAUCCCUCGGCUCAACCGAGGAACUGCGCUCAAAACUGCCAGGCUUGAGGGAGAUAGAGGUGAGCGGAACUUAGGGUGGAGCGGUGAAAUGCGUUGAUAUCCUAAGGAACACCUGUGGCGAAAGCGGCUCACUGGAUCUCUUCUGACGCUCAGGCACGAAAGCUAGGGUAGCGAACGGGAUUAGAUACCCCCGUAGUCC